This is an RNA transcript of Populus euphratica (Euphrates poplar), 3941 nucleotides long. It is a transcript of the gene named chromosome-associated kinesin KIF4A-like, with no coding region annotated. The record is from RefSeq and is a predicted model, not a curated record. Lineage: Eukaryota; Viridiplantae; Streptophyta; Magnoliopsida; Malpighiales; Salicaceae. The transcript has 28 exons.
AAACACCUAGCAGCAGAUACAGACAGCCAGAGGGGGUGGGGUAACCUUGAUUGGUCGAAGUAAGCUGUUGUAGUCGCUCUCUCGCUCCAACUCACUCCGACUCACUGCUCCUGCUUUUACCAGUAGUAAUAUAAUAAUUUGUCUGUCUGCGGCUCAGGAGCAGUGAGGAAAAUGAAGCUGCAACAAUUUGCUCACACAACAAGCAGAAGAGGGAAGAAAAAUUGAUGAAUGUUAUAAAUUGAGUUUAACAGUGAUUACCCCAUCAGAACAAAUAUCCCAACCCCGCCUUCCUCUUGUCUUCGUUGCUGCUCUAUCACUUUCCUCGCCCUAAUUUCUCUCUAACUAAUCUAUCUUCCAAGGAAAGUAUUUACCUCCUCGUUCCUCUCUCUUCUUCUUCUUAACUGCUUAUGGAAAUGACACCGUCAUCGGAGAUUUGUAGUGUUAAGGUUGCGCUUCAUAUACGACCCCUUAUUGCCGACGAGCGUCUUCAAGGUUGUAAAGAUUGUGUUUCUGUUGUUCCUCGACUACCUCAGGUACAAAUUGGGACACAUUCAUUUACAUUUGAUCAUGUCUAUGGAAAUGGUGGCGCAGAGCCAUCUGCCAUGUUUGAACAAUGUGUUGCUCCACUUGUUGAUGGAUUGUUCCAAGGAUACAAUGCCACGGUUCUUGCGUAUGGUCAGACGGGAUCGGGGAAGACAUAUACUAUGGGAACUGGCUUCAAAGAUGGUUGCCAUACUGGACUGAUUCCUCAAGUUAUGGGUGCAUUAUUCAACAAGAUUGAAACACUGAAGCAUCAAACGGAAUUCCAAUUGCAUGUGUCCUUCAUAGAGAUCUUAAGGGAAGAAGUGAGGGACUUGCUGGAUUCUGCAUCUGAGAGUAAAUCAGUGGUUGCUAAUGGACAUGCUGGGAAAGUUGCAGUUCCUGGGAAGUCUCCAAUACAAAUUCGUGAAGCAUCGAAUGGAGUUAUAACUCUAGCAGGAUCAACUGAAGUAGCUGUCAGUACAUUGCAAGAAAUGGCAGCGUGCUUGGAGCAAGGAUCAUUAUGUAGGGCAACAGGAAGUACAAAUAUGAAUAACCAGUCCAGUCGCUCGCAUGCCAUAUUCACGAUCACAUUAGAACAGAUGCGCAAACUCCAUUCAGUUUCUCCUGUUAAUGACACUCCAGAUGAGGAUAUGGGUGAAGAGUAUUUCUGUGCAAAGCUCCAUUUGGUAGAUCUAGCUGGAUCUGAACGAGCAAAAAGAACUGGUACUGACGGUCUUCGUUUGAAAGAAGGUAUUCACAUUAAUAAGGGGCUUCUUGCACUUGGUAAUGUCAUCAGUGCUUUGGGGGAUGAAAAAAAACGAAAAGAAGGCAUGCAUGUUCCCUACCGAGACAGUAAACUGACCCGACUCUUACAGGAUUCUCUUGGUGGAAACAGCAAAACUGUUAUGAUAGCUUGCAUCAGUCCUGCUGACAUCAAUGCUGAGGAGACUCUCAACACUCUCAAAUACGCAAACCGUGCACGCAAUAUUCAAAAUAAGCUAGUUGCUAAUAGAGAUUUAAUAUCCAAUGAGAUGCAACAGAUGCGCCAACAGUUAAAGUACUUGCAGGCAGAACUUUGUGCUCGUGGGGUUAGAGCUGCUUCAGAUGAAGUACAGGUUCUCAGGGAAAGGAUUGCUUGGCUUGAGGCUACAAAUGAGGACCUUUCUCGAAAACUUCAUGAAUACCGGAGCCGAUGUGCUAUUACAGAGAAGUGUGAAAUUGAUGCUUAUGAGGGGCAUGCCACUUCUGCAAAAAGUGAUGGACUUAAGAGGAACUUUCAGAGUAUGGACUCAUCUGAUGAGUAUUAUAUGGAUGAAGGAAUAUCAGGUGAUAGCUCUGGGGAAAUUGAUGAAGCAGCAAAAGAAUGGGAGCACACACUUGUACAAAGCACCAUGGAUAAAGAAUUGAAUGAGCUGAACAAACGUUUGGAGCAAAAAGAGUCUGAGAUGAAACUUUUUGGAGGGGUUGACACUGAAGUUCUGAAGCAGCAGUUCAGGAAGAAAAUUUUGGAACUCGAGGAAGAGAAAAGAACUGUUCAGCAAGAGAGGGAUCAUUUAUUGGUUGAAAUUGAGAACCUUGCUGCCAAUUCUGAUGGACAAGCACAGAAAACACAAGAUAUUCAUUCUCAGAAAUUAAAAGCACUUGAGGCACAGAUUUUAGAUCUUAAAAAGAAACAAGAAAGCCACUUCGAGCUUUUGAAGCAAAAACAAAGAAGUGAUGAAGCAGCGAAUAGGUUGCAAGCUGAAAUACAAUAUAUCAAGGCUCAAAAGGUUCAGUUGCAACACAAGAUAAAACAAGAAGCAGAACAAUUUCGACAAUGGAAGGCCAGUCAAGAGAAGGAAUUGCUGCAGCUAAGAAAGGAGGGCAGGAGAAAUGAGCAUGAGAGGCAUAAGCUUGAAGCCCUGCAUCAACGUCAGAAAAUGGUUCUUCAAAGGAAGACAGAGGAGGCGGCAAUGGCUAGCAAAAGGCUAAAGGAGUUGUUGGAAGCCCGCAAGUCUUCACCACGUGAGAGUUCAGCUAAUUCCAAUGGACAUUUAUCGCCUGGGCAGGGCAAUGAAAAAUCCUUAAGAAGAUGGCUUGAUCACGAGCUUGAAGUAGUGGUGAAAGUGCAUGAAGUUCGUCUUCAACAAGAGAAGCAAAAACAAGAACAUGCUGCACUAGCAGAGGAGUUAGCCUUGUUGAAACAAGUGAACCAGCUCUCUCCAAAUGGAAGUAGUCCGCAAGAAGGAAAGAAUGGACAUAGACAUGCUAGAUUGACAUUGAUGUCACCAAAUGCAAGAAUGGCUAGAAUUGCUUUUUUGGAGAACAUGCUGAGAGUAUCUGCAAGUGCCCUAGCAACAAUGGCUUCACAACUUUCGGAAGCAGGAGAAAGAGAGCGUACCUUUAUUGGUCGUGGACAUUGGAACCAAAUACGUUCAAUGGGAGAAGCUAAGAACCUGCUUCAGUAUAUGUUUACUGCAGCUGCAGAUGAUAGAUGCCGAUUGUGGGAAAAGGAUAUGGAAAUCAAGGAAAUUAAAGAUGAAUUGAAUGAUCUUUUGAUCUUACUAAGACAAAGUGAGAUCCAGAGGAAGGAACUUCUGAAGGAGCAAAAGAUGAGAGAACAAGCUGUUGCAAUUGCCUUUGCCUCAUCAGCUUCGGAUAGCUCACACAGUUCUUCGAAGCAUUAUGCAGACGACAUGAGUGGUCAUUUGUCUCCAAUGUUGCUUCCAGCGCCAAAGCAACUAAAAUUUACACCUGGGAUUGUUAAUGGGCCUGCUAGAGAAUCGGUGGCAUUUCUAGACCAGAUGGGAAAGAUAGUACCGGUUGGACAUUUGUCAAUGAAGAAAUUGGCAGCUUUAGGGCAAACUGGAAAACUCUGGCGAUGGAAGAGGAGUCAUCAUCAGUGGCUGCUUCAGUUCAAAUGGAAGUGGCAGAAACCAUGGAAGCUCUCAGAGUGGAUCAAACACAGUGAUGAAACAAUCAUGAGGUCAAGGCCUCGCUCACAGGCUCUGGUUGCUAUGAUAUGACCACCACAUGCUGUACAUAUAUCUUGCUUGCUUAUAUGAUCUGACUCAUGGUUGAGUGAAACUCAUGCGAGUAGAGGCUGUUGUACAUUGGCAAAGAUGUUACUAUAGAGAGAGAAUGGGAAAUUACUGAUGCCGUCUUAAAUCAUGACAUCUGCAUCUUCUCAUGCUGAUGGGUUAACUGAAAUUUUGGAAAAUGGCUGAAGGUUUGAGCAACUGAGCAUGUGUGCAUGAUAGAAGAUUUUGAUGCUGUGCUUCAGGAUGUGGAUUUUUCCUGUUAAUCUAUUGAGUUUAUUGCUAUUAAAAAAAAUAAUAAGAGGAAAUGUUUCCUUUCAUUGUAGGUUGUUUCCAGUUUGCCUGUACAUGUUACGAUUUAGUUAAAGAGAUAUAAAUGAAGAGUAGUUUUUCCGUCUAGCA